CGAGCGAGCUUGCUAGAUGAUUUUAGUGCUUGCACUAAAUGAAACUAGAUACAAGCGAGCGGCGGACGGGUGAGUAACACGUGGGUAACCUGCCCAAGAGACUGGGAUAACACCUGGAAACAGAUGCUAAUACCGGAUAACAACACUAGACGCAUGUCUAGAGUUUGAAAGAUGGUUCUGCUAUCACUCUUGGAUGGACCUGCGGUGCAUUAGCUAGUUGGUAAGGUAACGGCUUACCAAGGCAAUGAUGCAUAGCCGAGUUGAGAGACUGAUCGGCCACAUUGGGACUGAGACACGGCCCAAACUCCUACAGGAGGUAGCAGUAGGGAAUCUUCCACAAUGGACGAAAGUCUGAUGGAGCAACGCCGCGUGAGUGAAGAAGGGUUUCGGCUCGUAAAGCUCUGUUGGUAGUGAAGAAAGAUAGAGGUAGUAACUGGCCUUUAUUUGACGGUAAUUACUUAGAAAGUCACGGCUAACUACGUGCCAGCAGCCGCGGUAAUACGUAGGUGGCAAGCGUUGUCCGGAUUUAUUGGGCGUAAAGCGAGUGCAGGCGGUUCAAUAAGUCUGAUGUGAAAGCCUUCGGCUCAACCGGAGAAUUGCAUCAGAAACUGUUGAACUUGAGUGCAGAAGAGGAGAGUGGAACUCCAUGUGUAGCGGUGGAAUGCGUAGAUAUAUGGAAGAACACCAGUGGCGAAGGCGGCUCUCUGGUCUGCAACUGACGCUGAGGCUCGAAAGUAUGGGUAGCGAACAGGAUUAGAUACCCUGGUAGUCCAUGCCGUAAACG
This 784-nucleotide ribosomal RNA is filed under the name uncultured bacterium. Its description in RNAcentral is "bacterial SSU rRNA". It matches the Rfam family "Bacterial small subunit ribosomal RNA", at positions 63 to 808 of the family's 1533-position model. The record is from RNAcentral.